CAAGCGUGAGGUAAGAGCAUUUGGUGGAUGCCUUGGCAUGUACAGGCGAAGAAGGACGUGGCACGCUGCGAUAAGCGUCGGGGAGUUGUGAGCAAACUUUGAUCCGGCGAUUUCCGAAUGGGGGAACCCACCUUCACCAUUUCUCUCGUGUCUCGAGCAAUCGAGGUGUGAGUGAGGUGGAACAGGUAUCACCGAAGUGAAUAUAUAGCUUUGGUGAAGCGAACCCAGGGAACUGAAACAUCUCAGUACCUGGAGGAAAAGACAUCAACAGAGAUUCCCGUAGUAGUGGCGAGCGAACCGGGACCAGGCCAGUGCUUCUUUAUUAGUUAGCAGAACACUUUGGAAAGAGUGGCCAUAGCGGGUGACAGCCCCGUAUGCGAAAGCAAGUAAAGAAGACUCGAGUAGGGCGGGACACGUGAAAUCCUGUCUGAACAUGGGGGGACCACCCUCCAAGCCUAAAUACUCGUACAUGACCGAUAGCGAACAAGUACCGUGAGGGAAAGGUGAAAAGCACCCCGAUUAGGGGAGUGAAACAGUACCUGAAACCGAAUGCUUACAAGCAGUUGGAGCUUCUUUAGGAAGUGACAGCGUACCUCUUGCAUAAUGGGUCAGUGACUUAAUGUAUCAUGCGAGCUUAAGCCGUUAGGUGUAGGCGCAGCGAAAGCGAGUCUGAAUAGGGCGACUGAGUAUGAUGCAUUAGACCCGAAACCCGGCGAUCUAGGCAUGGCCAGGUUGAAGGUGCGGUAACACGCACUGGAGGACCGAACCGGUGAAUGUUGAAAAAUUCUCGGAUGAGCUGUGUUUAGGGGUGAAAGGCCAAUCAAGCCGGGAAAUAGCUGGUUCUCCGCGAAAUCUAUUGAGGUAGAGCGUCGGAUGUAUGCCGAUGGGGGUAGAGCACUGGAUGGGCUAGGGGGUCGCGAGAUCUACCAAACCUAACCAAACUCCGAAUACCAUCGAGUCUUAUCCGGCAGACAGACGGCGGGUGCUAAGGUCCGUCGUCAAAAGGGAAACAGCCCUAACCUACAGCUAAGGUCCCCAAGUCAUCACUAAGUGGGAAAGCAUGUGGAAAUCCCAAAACAACCAGGAGGUUGGCUUAGAAGCAGCCAUCCUUUAAAGAAAGCGUAACAGCUCACUGGUCUAAACAAGGGUUUCUGCGGCGAAAAUGUAUCGGGGCUAAAGUGAUGCACCGAAGCUUAGGGUUCAGUCUUUGACUGAGCGGUAGCGGAGCGUUCCGUAAGCGAGUGAAGCGGGAGGGUAACCGACCGUGGACGUAUCGGAAGCGAGAAUGCUGACAUGAGUAGCGACAAAGAGGGUGAGAUGCCCUCUCGCCGAAAGACCAAGGGUUCCUGCGCAACGCUAAUCGGCGCAGGGUGAGCCGGCCCCUAAGACGAGCCCGAAGGGGGUAGUCGAUGGGAACCACGUUAAUAUUCGUGGGCCUGGUGGUGUGUGACGGAUCGCGUAAAUUGUUCAUCCUUAUCGGAUUGGUUGGGCAGUGAAGCGGUUCCAGGAAAUAGCCCCACCGUAUAGACCGUACCCGAAACCGACACAGGUGGUCAGGUAGAGUAUACCAAGGCGCUUGAGAGAAGUAUCCUGAAGGAACUCGGCAAAUUGCCUCCGUACCUUCGGAAGAAGGAGGCCCCAUCUUAAGGCAACUUUUGAUGGGGGGCACAGGCCAGGGGGUAGCGACUGUUUAGCAAAAACACAGGGCUCUGCUAAGUCGGCUUCAAGACGACGUAUAGGGCCUGACGCCUGCCCGGUGCCGGAAGGUUAAGAGGAGGAGUGCAAGCUCCGAAUUGAAGCCCCGGUAAACGGCGGCCGUAACUAUAACGGUCCUAAGGUAGCGAAAUUCCUUGUCGGGUAAGUUCCGACCUGCACGAAUGGCGUAACGACUUCCCCACUGUCUCCAGGAUAUGCUCAGCGAAAUUG
This 1926-nucleotide ribosomal RNA is filed under the name soil metagenome. RNAcentral's name for it is "bacterial LSU rRNA". It matches the Rfam family "Bacterial large subunit ribosomal RNA", at positions 1 to 2044 of the family's 2925-position model. The record is from RNAcentral.